CUGCUCAAUGAUAAAUUAAAUAGCUGCAGUAUUAAUGACUGUACAAAGGUAGCAUAAUAAUUAGUUUUUUAAUUAAAAACUAGAAUGAAAGAUUUAAUGAAAUAUAAACUGUCUCAAAUUUAAUAAAUAAAUUUUUUUUUUAAAUAAAAAAAUUUAAAUUUUAUUUAAAGACGAGAAGACCCUAUAGAAUUUUUAUUAUUUUUAUAUUAUAAAUAUAAAUAUAAUUUUAAUUGGGGAAAUUUUAAAAUUUAAAAAAUUUUUAAUUAAAUAAACAAUUAUGUUUGAAUAAAAAUAUAUUUUUUAAUAAAUAAAUUUAAAUUACCUUAGGGAUAACAGCAUAAUUUUUUUUUGAAGUUCAAAUUUAUAAAAAAGUUUAUGACCUCGAUGUUGAAUUAAGAUAAAAUUUUUUGUAAAAAAAAUAUUCUUUAAGUCUGUUCGACU
This 441-nucleotide ribosomal RNA is filed under the name Microplitis sp. RNAcentral describes it as "partial 16S ribosomal RNA". The record is from RNAcentral. Lineage: Eukaryota; Metazoa; Arthropoda; Insecta; Hymenoptera; Braconidae.